GAUCAUGGCUCAGGACGAACGCUGGCGGCGUGCCUAAUACAUGCAAGUCGAGCGAAGUUUUUCUGGUGCUUGCACUAGAAAAACGGUUAGCGGCGAACGGGUGAGUAACACGUAAAGAACCUGCCUCAUAGACGGGGACAACUAUUGGAAACGAUAGCUAAUACCGGAUAACAGCAUAAAUCGCAUGAUAUAUGUUUAAAAGUUGGUUUCGGCUAACACUAUGAGAUGGCUUUGCGGUGCA
Molecule: ribosomal RNA, 241 nt
Filed under: uncultured bacterium
Lineage: Bacteria
Description: partial 16S ribosomal RNA
Rfam family: Bacterial small subunit ribosomal RNA
Source: RNAcentral